AUUGAACGCUGGCGGCAUGCCUUACACAUGCAAGUCGAACGGCAGCACGGGUGCUUGCACCUGGUGGCGAGUGGCGAACGGGUGAGUAAUACAUCGGAACGUACCUUAUCGUGGGGGAUAACGCAGCGAAAGUUGCGCUAAUACCGCAUACGCCCUGAGGGGGAAAGCGGGGGACCGGAAGGCCUCGCGCGAUUAGAGCGGCCCAUGUCUGAUUAGCUUGUUGGUGAGGUAAAAGCUCACCAAGGCGAUGAUCAGUAGCUGGUCUGAGAGGACGAUCAGCCACACUGGGACGGAGACACGGCCCAGACUCCUACGGGAGGCAGCAGUGGGGAAUUUUGGACAAUGGGGGCAACCCUGAUCCAGCAAUGCCGCGUGAGUGAAGAAGGCCUUCGGGUUGUAAAGCUCUUUUGUCAGGGAAGAAACAGCAGCUCUAACACAGUCUGCGAAUGACGGUACCUGAAGAAUAAGCACCGGCUAACUACGUGCCAGCAGCCGCGGUAA
Molecule: ribosomal RNA, 501 nt
Filed under: uncultured bacterium
Lineage: Bacteria
Description: partial 16S ribosomal RNA
Rfam family: Bacterial small subunit ribosomal RNA
Source: RNAcentral